This 1518-nucleotide ribosomal RNA is filed under the name Lactiplantibacillus plantarum. Its description in RNAcentral is "Lactobacillus plantarum partial 16S ribosomal RNA". It matches the Rfam family "Bacterial small subunit ribosomal RNA". Lineage: Bacteria; Bacillati; Bacillota; Bacilli; Lactobacillales; Lactobacillaceae. The record is from RNAcentral.
ACGCGGCGUGCCUAAUACAUGCAAGUCGAACGAACUCUGGUAUUGAUUGGUGCUUGCAUCAUGAUUUACAUUUGAGUGAGUGGCGAACUGGUGAGUAACACGUGGGAAACCUGCCCAGAAGCGGGGGAUAACACCUGGAAACAGAUGCUAAUACCGCAUAACAACUUGGACCGCAUGGUCCGAGUUUGAAAGAUGGCUUCGGCUAUCACUUUUGGAUGGUCCCGCGGCGUAUUAGCUAGAUGGUGGGGUAACGGCUCACCAUGGCAAUGAUACGUAGCCGACCUGAGAGGGUAAUCGGCCACAUUGGGACUGAGACACGGCCCAAACUCCUACGGGAGGCAGCAGUAGGGAAUCUUCCACAAUGGACGAAAGUCUGAUGGAGCAACGCCGCGUGAGUGAAGAAGGGUUUCGGCUCGUAAAACUCUGUUGUUAAAGAAGAACAUAUCUGAGAGUAACUGUUCAGGUAUUGACGGUAUUUAACCAGAAAGCCACGGCUAACUACGUGCCAGCAGCCGCGGUAAUACGUAGGUGGCAAGCGUUGUCCGGAUUUAUUGGGCGUAAAGCGAGCGCAGGCGGUUUUUUAAGUCUGAUGUGAAAGCCUUCGGCUCAACCGAAGAAGUGCAUCGGAAACUGGGAAACUUGAGUGCAGAAGAGGACAGUGGAACUCCAUGUGUAGCGGUGAAAUGCGUAGAUAUAUGGAAGAACACCAGUGGCGAAGGCGGCUGUCUGGUCUGUAACUGACGCUGAGGCUCGAAAGUAUGGGUAGCAAACAGGAUUAGAUACCCUGGUAGUCCAUACCGUAAACGAUGAAUGCUAAGUGUUGGAGGGUUUCCGCCCUUCAGUGCUGCAGCUAACGCAUUAAGCAUUCCGCCUGGGGAGUACGGCCGCAAGGCUGAAACUCAAAGGAAUUGACGGGGGCCCGCACAAGCGGUGGAGCAUGUGGUUUAAUUCGAAGCUACGCGAAGAACCUUACCAGGUCUUGACAUACUAUGCAAAUCUAAGAGAUUAGACGUUCCCUUCGGGGACAUGGAUACAGGUGGUGCAUGGUUGUCGUCAGCUCGUGUCGUGAGAUGUUGGGUUAAGUCCCGCAACGAGCGCAACCCUUAUUAUCAGUUGCGCAUUAAGUUGGGCACUCUGGUGAGACUGCCGGUGACAAACCGGAGGAAGGUGGGGAUGACGUCAAAUCAUCAUGCCCCUUAUGACCUGGGCUACACACGUGCUACAAUGGAUGGUACAACGAGUUGCGAACUCGCGAGAGUAAGCUAAUCUCUUAAAGCCAUUCUCAGUUCGGAUUGUAGGCUGCAACUCGCCUACAUGAAGUCGGAAUCGCUAGUAAUCGCGGAUCAGCAUGCCGCGGUGAAUACGUUCCCGGGCCUUGUACACACCGCCCGUCACACCAUGAGAGUUUGUAACACCCAAAGUCGGUGGGGUAACCUUUUAGGAACCAGCCGCCUAAGGUGGGACAGAUGAUUAGGGUGAAGUCGUAACAAGGUAGCCGUAGGAGAACCUGCGGCUGAU